GACGAACGCUGGCGGCGUGCUUAACACAUGCAAGUCGAACGGAAAGGCCCUGCUUUUGUGGGGUGCUCGGGUGGCGAACGGGUGAGUAACACGUGAGUAACCUGCCCUUGACUUUGGGAUAACUUCAGGAAACUGGGGCUAAUACCGGAUAGGAGCUCCUGCUGCAGGGUGGGGGUUGGAAGGUUUCGGCGGUUGGGGAUGGACUCGCGGCUUAUCAGCUUGUUGGUGGGGUAGUGGCUUACCAAGGCUUUGACGGGUAGCCGGCCUGAGAGGGUGACCGGCCACAUUGGGACUGAGAUACGGCCCAGACUCCUACGGGAGGCAGCAGUGGGGAAUAUUGCACAAUGGGCGGAAGCCUGAUGCAGCAACGCCGCGUGCGGGAUGACGGCCUUCGGGUUGUAAACCGCUUUCGCCUGUGACGAAGCGUGAGUGACGGUAAUGGGUAAAGAAGCACCGGCUAACUACGUG
This 468-nucleotide ribosomal RNA is filed under the name uncultured bacterium. RNAcentral's name for it is "partial 16S ribosomal RNA". It matches the Rfam family "Bacterial small subunit ribosomal RNA", at positions 28 to 507 of the family's 1533-position model. The record is from RNAcentral.